GAGUUUGAUCAUGGCUCAGGACGAACGCUGACGGUGUGCUUUAGACAUGCAAGUCGAACGAGAAAGCCCUUCGGGGUGAGUACAGUGGCGAACGGGUGAGUAACACGUGGGUAACCUGCCCCUCGCAGGGGGACAACCGGGGGAAACCCCGGCUAAUACCCCGUACGCUAGCCGGGCCGCAUGGCCCUGGCAAGGAAAGGUAGCUUCGGCCAUCCGGCGAGGGAUGGGCCCGCGGUGCAUUAUCUAGUUGGUGGGGUAAUGGCCUACCAAGGCGACGAUGCAUAGCUGGUCUGAGAGGAUGAUCAGCCACACUGGGACUGAGACACGGCCCAGACUCCUACGGGAGGCAGCAGUCGGGAAUCUUGCGCAAUGGGCGAAAGCCUGACGUAGCAACACCGUGUGGGCGACGAAGGCCUUCGGGUCGUAAAGCCCUGUUGUUGGGGACGAAGGGCGAAGGGUUAAUAGCCCCUAGCCUGACGGUACCCUUCGAGGAAGCCCCCGGCUAACUACGUGCCAGCAGCCGCGGUAAUACGUGGGGGGCGAGCGUUGUCCGGAAUUAUUGGGCGUAAAGAGCGUGUAGGCGGUUCGGUAAGUCUGCCGUGAAAACCUGGGGCUCAACCCCGGGCGUGCGGUGGAUACUGUCGGGCUAGAGGGUGGUAGAGGCGAGUGGAAUUCCCGGUGUAGCGGUGAAAUGCGCAGAUAUCGGGAGGAACACCAGUAGCGAAAGCGGCUCGCUGGGCCAUUCCUGACGCUGAGACGCGAAAGCUAGGGGAGCGAACAGGAUUAGAUACCCUGGUAGUCCUAGCCGUAACGAUGAACACUAGGUGUGGGGGGAGUCGAAUCUCCCUGUGCUGAAGUCCAACGCGUUAAGUGUUCCGCCUGGGGAGUACGGCCGCAAGGCUUAAAACUCAAAGGAAUUGACGGGGGCCCGCACAAGCAGCGGAGCGUGUGGUUUAAUUC
RNAcentral lists this ribosomal RNA (960 nucleotides) under uncultured Rubrobacter sp. RNAcentral's name for it is "bacterial SSU rRNA". It matches the Rfam family "Bacterial small subunit ribosomal RNA", at positions 9 to 952 of the family's 1533-position model. Lineage: Bacteria; Bacillati; Actinomycetota; Rubrobacteria; Rubrobacterales; Rubrobacteraceae. The record is from RNAcentral.